CUACGGGACGCUGCAGUGAGGAAUUUUGCGCAAUGGGGGAAACCCUGACGCAGCGAUACCGCGUGAGUGAAGAAGGCCUUUGGGUCGUAAAGCUCUUUUCUAAGGGAAGAUAGUGACGGUACCUUAGGAAUAAGCGCCGGCUAACUCCGUGCCAGCAGCCGCGGUAAUACGGAGGGCGCGAGCGUUGUUCGGAUUUACUGGGCGUAAAGGGCGCGUAGGCGGCCUGGCAAGUUAAGGGUGAAAUCCCGGGGCUUAACCCCGGAACUGCUCUUAAAACUGCCAAGCUAGAGAUGGUCAGAGGCGGGUGGAAUUCCAGGUGUAGAGGUGAAAUUCGUAGAUAUCUGGAGGAACACCGGUGGCGAAGGCGGCCCGCUGGGGCCAAUCUGACGCUGAGGCGCGAAAGCGUGGGGAGCGAACGGGAUUAGAUACCCGCGUAGUC
RNAcentral lists this ribosomal RNA (439 nucleotides) under uncultured bacterium. RNAcentral describes it as "partial 16S ribosomal RNA". It matches the Rfam family "Bacterial small subunit ribosomal RNA", at positions 339 to 795 of the family's 1533-position model. The record is from RNAcentral.